GGCCUCUUGGUCUAGAGGUAUGAUUCUCGCUUUGGGUUCCUCUCUCCUGCGAUAGAAGAGAGAGAAAAACAGAAUGCGAGAGGCCCCGGGUUCGAAUCCCGGAGAGGCCC
This is a non-coding RNA of Nemania sp. FL0916, 110 nucleotides long. The record is from the annotation of a GenBank genome assembly. Lineage: Eukaryota; Fungi; Ascomycota; Sordariomycetes; Xylariales; Xylariaceae.